GAUGAACGCUGGCGGCGUGCCUAAUACAUGCAAGUCGAGCGAACAGACGAGGAGCUUGCUCCUCUGACGUUAGCGGCGGACGGGUGAGUAACACGUGGAUAACCUACCUAUAAGACUGGGAUAACUUCGGGAAACCGGAGCUAAUACCGGAUAAUAUAUUGAACCGCAUGGUUCAAUAGUGAAAGACGGUUUUGCUGUCACUUAUAGAUGGAUCCGCGCCGCAUUAGCUAGUUGGUAAGGUAACGGCUUACCAAGGCAACGAUGCGUAGCCGACCUGAGAGGGUGAUCGGCCAAACUGGAACUGGGACACGGUCCAGACUCCUACGGGAGGCAGCAGUAGGGAAUCUUCCGCAAUGGGCGAAAGCCUGACGGAGCAACGCCGCGUGAGUGAUGAAGGUCUUCGGAUCGUAAAACUCUGUUAUUAGGGAAGAACAAAUGUGUAAGUAACUAUGCACGUCUUGACGGUACCUAAUCAGAAAGCCACGGCUAACUACGUG
RNAcentral lists this ribosomal RNA (497 nucleotides) under uncultured bacterium. Its description in RNAcentral is "partial 16S ribosomal RNA". It matches the Rfam family "Bacterial small subunit ribosomal RNA", at positions 28 to 507 of the family's 1533-position model. The record is from RNAcentral.